CCAAUAGCGUGUAUUAAAGUUGUUGCAGUUAAAAAGCUCGUAGUUGAAUUUCGGGAUCAAUAUGUCGGUCGUGCCUUCGGUACGUACUGGCAUCAUUGAUUUCUCCCUUCUGACGAACCAUGAUGUCCUUAAUUUGGUGUCAUGGGGAGUCAGGACUGUUACUUUGAAAAAAUUAGAGUGGUUAAAGCAGGCUCACGCUUGAAUACAUUAGCAUGGAAUAAUGAAAUAGGACGUUUGACCCUAUUUUGUUGGUUUCUAGGAUCAACGUAAUGAUUAAGAGGAAUAGUUGGGGGCAUUAGUAUUCAAUUGUCAGAUGUGAAAUUCUUGGAUUUAUUGAAGACUAACUACUGCGAAAUCAUUUGCCAAGGAUGUUUUCAUUAAUCAAGAACGAAAGUUAGGGGAUCGAAGACGAUCAGAUAACGUCGUAGUCUUAACCAUAAACUAUGCCGACUAGAGAUCGGAUGAUGUUAAUUUUUUAAUGACUCAUUCGGCGCCUUACG
Molecule: ribosomal RNA, 500 nt
Filed under: uncultured Glomeromycotina
Lineage: Eukaryota; Fungi; Glomeromycota
Description: partial small subunit ribosomal RNA
Rfam family: Eukaryotic small subunit ribosomal RNA
Source: RNAcentral